GUAGGUACGUAUCGGAUUUACUGGGCGUAAGCGCGCGUAGGUGGUUAAUUAAGUCAAAUGUGAAAUCCCCGAGCUUAACUUGGGAAUUGCAUUCGAUACUGGUUAGCUAGAGUAUGGGAGAGGAUGGUAGAAUUCCAGGUGUAGCGGUGAAAUGCGUAGAGAUCUGGAGGAAUACCGAUGGCGAAGGCAGCCAUCUGGCCUAAUACUGACACUGAGGUGCGAAAGCAUGGGGAGCAAACAGGAUUAGAUACCCUGGUAGUCCAUGCCGUAAACGAUGUCUACUAGCCGUUGGGGGAUUUGAUCCUUUAGUGGCGCAGCUAACGCGAUAAGUAGACCGCCUGGGGAGUACGGUCGCAAGACUAAAACUCAAAUGAAUUGACGGGGGCCCGCACAAGCGGUGGAGCAUGUGGUUUAAUUCGAUGCAACGCGAAGAACCUUACCUGGCCUUGACAUAGUAGAGACUUUCCAGAGAUGGAUUGGUGCCUUCGGGAAUCUACAUACAGGUGCUGCAUGGCUGUCGUCAGCUCGUGUCGUGAGAUGUUGGGUUAAGUCCCGCAACGAGCGCAACCCUUUUCCUUACUUGCCAGCAUUUCGGAUGGGAACUUUAAGGAUACUGCCAGUGACAAACUGGAGGAAGGCGGGGACGACGUCAAGUCAUCAUGGCCCUUACGGCCAGGGCUACACACGUGCUACAAUGGUCGGUACAAAGGGUUGCUACACAGCGAUGUGAUGCUAAUCUCAAAAAGCCGAUCGUAGUCCGGAUCGCAGUCUGCAACUCGACUGCGUGAAGUCGGAUCGCUAGUAAUCGCGGAUCAGAAUGCCGCGGUGAAUACGUUCCCGGGCCUUGUACACACCGCCCGUCACACCAUGGGAGUUUGUUGCACCAGAGUAGUAGUCUAACCGCAGGAGACGCUUACCACGGUGUGGCCGAUGACUGGGGUGAGUCUCGAAAAGAGACACUACAAUAAAA
Molecule: ribosomal RNA, 970 nt
Filed under: Acinetobacter sp. NF64
Lineage: Bacteria; Pseudomonadati; Pseudomonadota; Gammaproteobacteria; Moraxellales; Moraxellaceae
Description: bacterial SSU rRNA
Rfam family: Bacterial small subunit ribosomal RNA
Source: RNAcentral